Molecule: ribosomal RNA, 409 nt
Filed under: uncultured bacterium
Lineage: Bacteria
Description: partial 16S ribosomal RNA
Rfam family: Bacterial small subunit ribosomal RNA
Source: RNAcentral
AUUGAACGCUGGCGGCAGGCCUAACACAUGCAAGUCGAACGAGUGGCGGACGGGUGAGUAAUGUCUGGGAAACUGCCUGAUGGCGGGGGAUAACUACUGGAAACGGUAGAUAAUACCGAAUACCAUAGGAUGUGCCCAGCUGGGUUUAGCUAGUAGGUGGGGUAAAGACACACAUAGGCGACGAUCCCUAGCGGGUCGUAGAGGAGGACCAGCCUCACUGGAGCUGAGACACCGUCCAGCAUCCUACGGAGGUCAGCAGUGGGGAAUAUUUAACAAUGGUCGCAAGCCUGAUGCAGCCAGGCCGCGUGUAUGAAGAAGGCCUCCGGGUUGUAAAGUACUUUCAGCGGGGAGGCGUUACCCGCAGAAGAAGCACCGGCUAACUCCGUGCCAGCAGCCGCGGUAAUAAUUC